Molecule: regulatory RNA element, 121 nt
Organism: Pantoea ananatis LMG 20103
Lineage: Bacteria; Pseudomonadati; Pseudomonadota; Gammaproteobacteria; Enterobacterales; Erwiniaceae
Rfam family: Histidine operon leader
About the family: At least 6 amino acid operons are known to be regulated by attenuation. In each a leader sequence of 150-200 bp is found upstream of the first gene in the operon. This leader sequence can assume two different secondary structures known as the terminator and the anti-terminator structure.
Source: Rfam
UCAUCACCACCAUCACCCUGACUAGUCUUUCAGGCGAUGUGUGCUGGAAGACGUCUAGGAUCUUCCAGUGGUGCGAACGCAAGAGAACCCCCGGAAGAUCGUCUUCCGGGGGUUUUUUUAU